Molecule: unclassified non-coding RNA, 335 nt
Filed under: Hevea brasiliensis (rubber tree)
Lineage: Eukaryota; Viridiplantae; Streptophyta; Magnoliopsida; Malpighiales; Euphorbiaceae
Source: RNAcentral
AUGAUGCAAAAUUCACAAAAGCAGGAGUUUGAGUUCUCACAACUUGUAUGUGUCUCUAUAUAUCUCUAUAUGUACAUAAUUAAAUUUCUAUUGCUAGCAAAAACUAACAAUUUUCAUCAAAAAAAUUUUUCUAAAGUAUUCCAAAAGAGAAUAUUUUACUCUCACAGCAUACAGAAGCAACAAUGGAGGUUAAAAGAGUGGAACAAAAAAUGUUUACAUACUGCCCCUUUAACCAUGUACCUAAUUCUCUGCCAUAAGCUCCCAGAUCUCACUCAUCUUGCUGUUCUAUUGUUACGUACAGAAGGAAAAAUUAUAGAAAUAAGGAAAGGAAUAUG